AGUAGCUCUUUAAUAAUUAUUAUAAUUAUUUUCCCUCGGUCUCCAUUUAAAUUCUCUAAUUUCUCGUAUAGGACUACUGAGGUGACGUCAUACCUCGGUGAUGGAACGUACUUCACCUAUCGAGAAUUAUUUCGCGUUCUGUGAGUUUGACGUCGUACUCUUGGAAGGAGAGACGAAUGUUCAUCACUUGACUGGUGGCUGUAGGUGAAGUUGGUUGCUACCAUAGAAUAUUAGAAUGGCGGUUGGUUUUUUAUUUUAUAACAUCAGUGAAAAGUGAAAAAGUUACCACAAAUGGUUUUCUACAGUAGGGAGGCAUGUGGGUAGAACAACCCCUCUUGGAAUAGGAAUAGAAAUCACCGCCAUUUUGGAGUAACCACAUGGUGAACUCAUAGCCCUUUGACACCUAGGGAAACCACUACAGCCACAGUCAAGUCACCUUGGGAAUAUGUCGAUUUGGGAGCAAGCUAUGGGAGCGUUCCAGCUCAAUUUUCGUCUUGGCACCUGGGCCUAUAGGAGUCAUGGGGUCGCACCAUCCUGGUGCAUCAUUUUCUAGGAUGCAACCGCAACCUCGUUUGGGAACAUUUAGUGAGGUGUUUUAGUAACUAUUGUUUUUUUUUUUAUAUUUCAGACUAUCUGUUAAAUACACUAUGUUUUUUUUCCAGAUUUAGGUUACCUCUGGUUUUUUUUGACAUAUUUGUAUAUUAGAUUAUUUGGUUCCCAAACUUUGUAUCUACGGUAACUUCUUGUGCACAGGAAUAAGCCUAGAGAAAAUUAGGUUUUUAAUACUUUAUUAUUGCUUUGAUAUUGGUUUAUGUAAUUCGGGUAAAUUUAUUUUUUAAUAUUACUAGCUUGUUUCCCAAAUAUUUUACUGUUAUUCGCUUUAUUCCAUUUGUUCGGUUAAUUUAGGUCAUCGUCGGUAUUUAUCUCAACUUCAUUUCUACUUUAGUCAAUUGUAUAUUUAACUUUAUUUAUUCAUUACUGUAUUUUCCCUUAGUGAGGCUUGGGCCUAUUUAUUUGUAGUAUUUUCAUCUUUGUCAGUUUCCUUAGUUGUACGUAGCAGGCGUACUAUAACCAUUUGGUAGAAGACUUAUGUAAUUUUGUACCCUAUAUGUAAGUAAGAUGUACUAAUACCUGUAAUUUUGUAACAGAUAACAUUAUUGUUGUUAUCUUAGAUAUAACCUCUGUAUAACUUUUGUCAUGUUAGAGUCACAGCAUAAUAUGAACUUGCUUAACUCAGAGAUUGUUAAAAAUCUGGUAGUUAUUUUUAAUAAAUAUUUACUUAUUUUGUAUAUCAAUUAUUUUAUUAUUCCUUUAUGUUCAUUAUUACAGGUUUAAUAUAUUUAAUAUUUGAAAGCAGUGUAAGAUACCUGGGAGAAUGAUCGAAGAUCAUUUUCAUGGCGCCCAUGAUUAGUUAGUUUUAUUUAUUUUGUUCGUUUUUAGUCAUUAUUCAUCUCCAUUCAUUUUCAGUACAUUAUUCUUAUUUUAUUAUUUCACCUUUUAGUCAUCAUUACUAUCUACUUAGAGCUACUGUUCUUCGACAGGCAUGCAAACGAGCCGUAUCCAUCCUUGAGUGUCAAGUUGCUCUCUUGCAUCUAUAGCUAGCCAACUCUAUUCAGUUUGCCUCUGUCUCUUCCCACUUCUACUUCUAUCCCUUCUAAUUCCCCUUUUUCAGUACAACUGCACUUUAGUAAUUUUUUUCCUACUGCAGCUUCUCAACGUAGAAGCCCAGUCAAUUCUUCAUUUUUCAUAAUAGCAGUUUAGUUAGUUUUUCUUUUCCUUACUUCUGUUGGAGUAUAUCACUCCAACAGAAGUGCAUUUUGUUACACCACCAGAAUGAAAACAAUGGGAACCUUCUCUGGUUACACCUCCGAGGCUUCUACAAUUUGCAAGCCAUACGGAUGCUGAGACUAAGGAAGAUGAGGGAAUUCUACAAUUUACAAUUCACGUCCCAUCUGCUCAGCGCGGUAAAGUUCCAACGAGAAUGGUUCCCUUCAUACUCCACACAGAGUAAAUGUAAAUCAAAAAUGAAUCGGCGUUAUCGAAAUGCCUCCCACUUUAUCAGGUAAAUAUUUUCAUACAUGAAAUGCCUCCCAGGUACAAUCGAAAUGCCUCCGUUUCGUUAAUCAUUUAGGCUUAUAUUUUGUCUAUUUAAUCUCUGUUUAAUGCCACAAUGUUGCCAAAUCAUAAUUUAAAUAGGUAGUAUCUAUCUAUUUUGAUUUUUCUAAAUCUUCAUGCAGUGUACAUAAAAUUUUUUUCACAUAAAUAUUUCACAGUACGACAUAUUUCUUUUUAGAAAAGAAAGUUGUUAGCCGACAAUCUAAUAUCUAGCUUUUCUGGGUAAUUCCAAUUCCGAUUUACUUUUACCUUAAUCUUUUUGUUUGUUUUUAUUCUCUGGGUAAUUCCAAUUCCGAUUCUAAUCUCUUCUUAACGAUUCCAUGAAUAGGCACUUUUACCUUAAUCUUUUUGUUUGGUUAUAUUAUCUGUUGUAAAUUGUGCUAAUGGGCUAAAUGUUGUAUAAAUACGUGAAAGUUUAUUAGUUCCUGCAUCAGUCAAUUUGUCUAUUUCAAGCUUGUCAGUUCGUCGAUUUCAAGAUCAAAUUGUGUUUAAGUCAUAACAUCCGAAAUAAUGGAAUCAACGAUAAGUGUGAGUCAAAAGGGCAAACCUUUAUUAUCAAUUGAUGGUUUUACAUUCGGUUUUCAAAUGUUGGCUAAAGAUACAGUAAAACGGUGGACAUGAACUAAAAAAAAA
Diabrotica virgifera virgifera (western corn rootworm) is the source of this 2748-nucleotide long non-coding RNA. RefSeq lists it as uncharacterized. The transcript has 2 exons. The record is from RefSeq and is a predicted model, not a curated record. NCBI's taxonomy places the organism in Eukaryota, Metazoa, Arthropoda, Insecta, Coleoptera, Chrysomelidae.